RNAcentral lists this ribosomal RNA (430 nucleotides) under uncultured bacterium. RNAcentral's name for it is "bacterial SSU rRNA". It matches the Rfam family "Bacterial small subunit ribosomal RNA", at positions 355 to 776 of the family's 1533-position model. The record is from RNAcentral.
UGGGGAAUAUUGGGCAAUGGCCGCAAGGCUGACCCAGCGACGCCGCGUGCGGGAGGACGCCUUUCGGGGUGUAAACCGCUGUCGGGGGGGACGAACCCUGCGGGUGUGAAUAGCACCUGGAGCUGACGGUACCCUCAAAGGAAGCGCCGGCUAACUCUGUGCCAGCAGCCGCGGUAAGACAGAGGGCGCAAGCGUUGUUCGGAAUUACUGGGCGUAAAGCGCGCGCAGGCGGAUUGGCAAGUCGGAAGUGAAAUCCCGGGGCUCAACUCCGGGGCUGCUUCCGAAACUGCGAGUCUAGGGACCGGUAGGGGCGGGUGGAAUUCCCGGUGUAGCGGUGGAAUGCGUAGAGAUCGGGAAGAACACCGGUGGCGAAGGCGGCCCGCUGGGCCGGAUCCGACGCUGAGGCGCGAAAGCGUGGGGAGCAAACAGG